CCUACGGGAGGCAGCAGUGAGGAAUAUUGGUCAAUGGGCGCGAGCCUGAACCAGCCAAGUAGCGUGAAGGAUGACUGCCCUACGGGUUGUAAACUUCUUUUAUAAAGAAAUAAAGUGAGGCACGUUUGCCUUUUUGUAUGUACUUUAUAAAUAAGUAUCGUCUAACUCCGAACCAGCAGCCUCGUUACUACGGCGGAUCCGAGCGUUAUCCAGAUUUCUUGGGUUUAAAGGGAACGUAGAUGGGUUGUUAAGUCAGUUGUGAAAGUUUGCGGCGAAACAGUAAAAUUGCAAUUGAUACUGGCAGCCUGGAGUACAGUUGAGGUAGGCGGAAUGAGUGGUGUAGCGGUGAAAUGCUUAGAUAUCACGAAGAACUCCGAUUGCGAAGGCAGCUUACUAAACUGCCACUGACAUUGAUGCUCGAAAGUGUGGGUAUCAAACAGGAUUAGAUACCCGGGUAGUC
RNAcentral lists this ribosomal RNA (460 nucleotides) under uncultured bacterium. RNAcentral describes it as "partial 16S ribosomal RNA". It matches the Rfam family "Bacterial small subunit ribosomal RNA", at positions 338 to 795 of the family's 1533-position model. The record is from RNAcentral.